CUGCUCAGUAACACGUAGCUAAUCUACCCUUAGGCCUUGAAUAACCACGGGAAACUGUGGGUAAGUCAGGAUAGAGGUUUUGCGUUGGAAAGCGCCUACCUUGAAAGCCUCGGCACCCAAGGAUGAGGCUGCGGCUGAUUAGCUUGUUGGUGGGGUAACUGCCUACCAAGGCGAUGAUCAGUACGGGCUCUUAGCGGAGUUGCCCGGAGAAGGAAUCUGAGACACUAUUCCUAGCUCUACGGAGUGCAGCAGCAGCGAAUCAUUUACAAUGCACGCAAGUGUGAUAAUGCGAGCCAAAGUGCCAUUCGUUUAGAAUGGCUUUUCUUCACUGUAAAAACGUGGAGGAAUAAGGACUGGGAAAGACUGGUGCCAGCCGCCGCGGUAAUACCAGCAGUUCAAGUCGCAUCCACUUUUAUUGGGUCUAAAACAUCCGUAGCUUGUCUUUUAAGUCUCUUGUGAAAUCCUAUGUCUUAAGCAUAGGGCUUGCGAGAGAUACUGGAAGGCUAGAGAUCGGUAGACGUAAGGAGUACGCUGGAGGUAACGGUUAAAUGUGUCAAUCUUCGGUGGACUAACAAUGAGCGAAGGCACCUUACGAGGACGAAUCUGACAGUGAGGGAUGAAGGCCAGGGGCGCAAAACGGAUUAGAUACCCGUGUAGUCCUGGCAGUAAACACUGCUCACUAAACAUCGGGCCCUCUUCGGGAGGAUUCGGUGCUGAAGCGAAGGCGAAGAGUGAGCUACCUGGGAAGUAUAGUCGCAAGAUCGAAACUUAAAGGAAUUGGCGGGGGAG
RNAcentral lists this ribosomal RNA (789 nucleotides) under uncultured archaeon. RNAcentral describes it as "bacterial SSU rRNA". It matches the Rfam family "Archaeal small subunit ribosomal RNA", at positions 86 to 876 of the family's 1478-position model. The record is from RNAcentral.